GAAAGGUAUAAAAAGAAGCUUUGCUAGAGUUGCAGCAUGUUUUUUUGAUACAAGCUCCUCGUUGUUUCAUUACUUUAAUUGCCAGAGGAAGACAGUUUGUUCUAUGGUAGGGAAGGACUCUGUCUCCAUGUGCUUGAUGUGCUACAGUAGGAGCCUGUGCUGGUACGGUAUAUCCUAUGAAACCACGACAGAGUUCAGCAAUGAAAAGCAUGCAUGCAUGCCGGGUAUGACUCAAAGACAUCAGAGUGGAUGGAGAAAAGUUACUUUAUACUGAGGGUAAAAGGAGAGAAGGGGAAGUACUUCUUCCAUCUGAAGUGAAUAUGUGGAAACCUCACCAAAAUCCAGCACUGAACACAUGUGGCUUUUUGGAAAGUGUCUCUGUGCAAAUGCGUCCCCAACAUCCAGAGUGAUAAAAAUCAUGUACUGAGCUGAGUCGAAUGGCGUAGCUGAAGUGGAGCUGUAAAUACAGUGGUAGGCGGUUUCCUGCCAAAACUCCCCAGCAUGUCCAAGAACCCCACUGUGACUCAGCCAUUGCAGUCACUGGGAACUCAGCACAGACACCCUUUCUAGUUGGGUAUUUCUACUUCUCUUUUUGCACCAUAUCAAGAGGGGCUCUAUUCAUCCAUAGAGGAAAAAGACUGACAAUAUGGCCAAUAUUUUUGUUGUCUUAAAGUAAUGAUCUUAUUGUAGAACUGAUGGAACUUCUGAAUAUGCUGAAUGGAUGGGAGAUGAUGAAGUAUUUGGUUAUAACGCAUUUUCUAAUGUAUGUACUGUUCCUUCAAAGAGUUAGCAUCUUCAGAAAGAUGAUCCAAGCUGGAAGAAGCCAUGCCCUUGCCAAAAUAACAGCAAGAGCAAUGCUGAGUAGCUUCUAGGUCAGCAGCUUCUAGGGUCUCACCUGCCCAAGAAUAUUUGAAGCUGUCAGAUGUCAUCCCCUUACUCCUCUGCAUUCAUAGCUUUGAUACUUCCUCUGUCAUUUAAGAUAACACUCCCUUUAGUCUGUUUUUAACCUGUGCAGAUGGUUGCCUCUGUAUGCAAAAAGUUCUGUACCCACAAAGCUUUACACUUUGCAUUGGCAAUAAAUACAGCAGAUUUGGGAGAUCUGCAGUUCCCAUCAGCUAAGCUAGAAUGGGCUGUUCUGUUCUUUUCCCUUCCUUAUCCCAUGCAGUAUUUGUUCUGUCACUUCUUUCUCUCCUCUCUCAUUUCUAGCCUGUCUCAUCUCCUCCAGCUCACAUUCCUAAUUCUCUCUUCUCUUUUUUUCAUACUUCCUGUGUUAGUCUCAGCCAAUUCUGUAUUGGCUUCUUCCACAUUCUGCUGGGACUCUCUCCCCAUCUGACCUUUCCCUGCAUGAACAAAUCCCAGUGUCCCAGGUUAGAAAAUUGACUCCGCUCUGCUUUUCUCUGCCUUCCAGCCUGCUGCUUAUUAAUUGCUUCCUGAAUUUUCUGCUUGAUACCUUUUUACUGCUUAACACUUCUUUUACUUUCAAGAUGCUCUCUGUCUUUUACUUUCUUUCUCUGUCCCCAGUAACGUAUACUUCAGGCAGUUUUGGUUUUUGUUCUGAGAACUGUCUACCUUCUCCAGCUUUCUGUUCAGUAUCUGAAGCAUAUCUGUGGUUCCGUUACUGAGCUUCCUUUCUGGGAAGUGCAGGCUCCUUGUACUUUGACUCGGGUCAUUAACAUCUAAGUGGCUUCAUUUUUUCUUGCAAAUUCCCAAAAGGACCCACUUUUAUCCUCUUUUCCUCAGUCCCCACCAGUAGGGCACCCAACAGUGCUAUGCGGUUCAUUCUGUUUGAUGAAAGCCACCACAGAGUUGCUGUUCCUCAGGCAAGAAAUCUUUUGCUGCACUCACAGCUGCGACCUGUGGAGGGUUUGGUAUGUUUUGAAAUGCUCCAAACUGAAAAGCAAGAGUCAGAGUUUUCACCUAGAGCCCCCGAGGAGGGAAUACCCAAGGAGCUGGCACCAGGAAGGAGCAGAGGGCAGAGGUGAGGGAUGCAGCGGGUGUGUGGCACGGGGCACUGAGAAGGGAGCCAGCCAAAAGGUAAGGGCAGCACUGGGAGUGCAUGACUCUUGGUUGGGGGCCUGAGGACAAACACUGCCAGAGCCCCUGUAGUUCAGCACUUUCUUCUGUCAGAAAUACAGCGAUGCAGACUGUGAGCACAGUACAUCCACUUCCACGCAGAGAUUCUAAUUUCUGCAUUUUAUUUCACCAAGUGACUCGAAUUCUACUUCUCUUCCCCCACACACUCCUAUACUAAGCAUAUUAGUACUUAAGGAAAAUUUCUGGGCCACGUGGGUAGCAGCCCCAGUACCCCACAAACACAGAGCGGCUGCCGAGAUCCUGCUUUCUGAGAAGAGCUUACCAGAAUGACCGGAGUUGGGUGAGUAGGCAGAGCCUGGGCUGCUGCAGAGCGCUGCACCCACCUGCGUCCCUGCAAGACGCAGUGACUGCUGCUGUGCUCGGGACGGCCCGUACUCAUGUCGGCGACGGAGAGCACUGCACCCCUGUCAGCCGCGAUGAAAAUGUAAGCUACAGUUUCCUGGAAUAUACUGUAAGUACAACUCGUAUCCCAGUGAGUUUAAAUGAGUAUUCAGUCUUAGCUACAAUAGCCAAUAAAUGCUAAAAUUAACAACAGGUUUGGCCCAGAAAGAAGUCCUAGGGAAGUUAAAAAACCAAACUUGUGCUUAGAAUUUGUAUCUAACCUCUGCACAGAACCAAGGCUGC
Long non-coding RNA from Gallus gallus (chicken), 2718 nucleotides. NCBI's taxonomy places the organism in Eukaryota, Metazoa, Chordata, Aves, Galliformes, Phasianidae. The record is from Ensembl.